Long non-coding RNA from Bactrocera oleae (olive fruit fly), 3354 nucleotides. RefSeq lists it as uncharacterized. The record is from RefSeq and is a predicted model, not a curated record. NCBI's taxonomy places the organism in Eukaryota, Metazoa, Arthropoda, Insecta, Diptera, Tephritidae.
CUUUCAAUUCAGUAAGAGCCAGAGUCUAUUAUCUUUUAAAUAAACGUCUUCUUACUGCAUAAAGUAUUGUAAAUACUUUUGAGGUCAUAGUUUAUCUUCUUCUAGUAGUACCAGCACAAGAUAUUUUACACAAACAAAAAUAAAAGUAUAAUAUCAAGAACUUGCCUGAGAUAAGCCCGAAGCCCGUAUAUCCACUUAGAACACUAACCUCAGGAUUAUGUUCGCCCAGAUAAGAUGAUUCACAGCAUGUGCUCACGAAAAAAAUAUUUUUAAGUAAUCAAAUUUCUUCGAUAACUUUCAAAACUUCUUAAAAAUACUUGGAAUCUUCGGAGUAAGCUUUCUCAGUUGCUUGUUGAGAGUAGAAGUCAAUUAUUUCAGGCAAUAAUUGCAAUACCGUAGGAGAUACAUUUCUGAUAUGAGGUAAAUGCACGUUUAACUAGAGUAAGAUUGUUCCAAUUUUAUUUUAAAGGUUAGUACUUCUAAGAGCAUUGUAUUCACAAUUUUCACAAGGUCAAGGAAAACUGGAUAUAUAAAGGGGUUCAAGCACACGCUGAAAUUUUUCUAUUUUCCUAGACCACUGCGGUUUUUUCUCUGCUCACAUACCGACGAGAGAAAUGUGGACGAGGUAAAGUCGCUGAAGCAGAGGCGCAAUGAGCUUUUUCACGGAUGUUGUUUAUGUAGAAGUGGUUGUUAUUUGGGCAGUAUAUGUACUGCUCCAAAAUUCAGAGUCUUUCAGGGAAGUGAGCAUUUACUCCGGCGAGCAGCCUUGCCCCAUUCACAUCGAAAUAGGCACAAGUUGAAUCUCCGUUGUAAUCUUACAUUCUAGCAUUAGACCUAUGGGGCUCGUGUGCGCUUAGCAGGCGUUGGUUCACGGUGAGUUUCUGUGCGACUGCAAGAUCCUUUUGAAAUCAAGUAGAAUGCAGGAGAUCUACUCAACUAUUUGCCCUCAGCAAAGUUCAUCUUGCCGCAAUCGUAUAAGUUCAAAAUAUCUUAUAUAUAGUAUGAUCAACUAUAUAAGAUAUCACAGCGGACCGAUUUUCAGAGCUUUCCAAGUGAGAUCGCUUUUUAGAAUUUCUGCUUGAAAUCGUGUCAGUAUUUCAAGAACUCGAUCAUUGAAGGCAGUCUAAGCUUACUUAAUACAUCCUCAAACUUUGCAGGUAUAGUCGAGUGUUAAAUCACAACGGCUUAAAGGUCAACUGUAGUGACCCAGGAAGUUUAAGAAGUUGAGAAUUAUUCUCAAAAGGGGGAACGCUUUACUCCAAUUGGGCAGAGACUAUUAAAUCUUUUGAUUGAGACACCUAUAAACACAUACUCGUAGACAUCUCUUCAGGAAACAUAAUGAAGCGCAGCGAUCAAUUGAAAACUCAAUUUGCGCGAAAUUCCAAUGAAUCUCCACUUCACCAAUAAAAGCAAACCACAAAAAAAAUAACAAUUUACAAGCAAGAAACAUAAAAUCCAAUCAAAUCAUUAAUGAUUUCACUAUAUUUUUUUUCUGCAUGUACACAACAAUAAGGUAAUAAAUAAACGAAUAAUUUAUUUUCCGCCAGUGGCCACAGACAAGCGGCGCGAUCAACCUGAUUGUGUCGAAGCGAUUGCCCAGUUUGGUCACUGAUCGGCAGUGAAUGCCAAUGAUUGGCAAUAAGCAAGCAAUACACUGCCAUAGAUAUAAUUGUGUAUGUGUGUGCGUACGUGUGUGUGAAGGCAAACAGUUUUUAGGCGAACAAAGUUGUUAAAAUGCGUGGACCAGAGGUAGAGCGCGGCGACAGCAACAAUAUUGGCGAAGCAAGUCGAGCAACAGCUGUACGCCGCAGACGGCAUGAAUUAUGCGCGCGCAUGUGUGUGUGAGUGUGUAAAAGGCUUGUGUAGAACUGGCAAGUGCAUAAUAAGGAGCAUGGCAACAGCUUACAAGCAACAACAAUUACAACAAACACAUUAUCACAACGCGUCAACACAAAUCGACACACGCUGAAUGUGGUACAGCUUUGCGGCGGCAAAAAAUGCGGCCACAGUCAAUCCGCAAGCAGUCAGACAACGCGCGGCCGAUAAUCAACGACCCGGGCCACGGCAACAGUGCGCGCAUACACAGCCGUACUUGCGCGCACAUAUGUAACAGCAUGUGCAACACAUAACUUGUUGGCGACGCAAGUCUGCGAACACAAUUCCACCACCAAUCUACCGUGCGCGCCCCGUACGCGCAACGUAACGCAUACAAACUGAGUUAAUAGAGGUGCGGCAAGAAACCGGUGAAUGCGUUAAGUGUGCGCCACAAUGGCGAUUCCCAAAACAACAACAAUACCAACAAAUAUUGAGAUCACAAGAAAAGUUGUUAUAAGCGAUCAAACAAAAAGGUAUUAAAAAAAAACGAACAUUGUCGGCAAUAACACCAAUUUAAGCGAACGCGCCGCGGGCAAUGCACACCUCCGUCGCCAACAUUUAUUUACAGACACGCCAGCGCACUGCGCACUGACAUUCCCAAUAAAAUGUGCGCAUACAUACUCACGUGCUCAGACGCACACACUUUUUACUUGCGGUCGCAGUAAAAAAAAAUCAAAAUAAAUAAACAAAUCUGAAGUCAGUCGUGCGCGCCACAAAACCGCGCCUCGCAACUUCAAGACAACGACGUAGCGCGCACAGCUUUUUCUUAUUCAUACACACAUACAGUGUUUACGUAUGUAAUAUAAGGAUCAUUGAUUAUAGGAAGCCAAUCUGUUGUUUUUUUUUUUUUGUUUUGAUUUCUGUUUUAGUUUUUCUUCUUUAUAUCACGUUAUGUGGCGCGUCAUGCGCUUUAUCGUUGAAACGGAAACGCACCGGCAGUCGAUUUCAAAAGAAGCGCAAAAAAGAUCGAACAACUGAUCAAUCGAUUGAAUGAGUUCGAACGGCUGCUCAAAUAAAGUGUUGGUGCGGCUUGCCACGAUGUAACAUACAUAUACAAGUAUAUGUCUUGGCUGAGUGAAGGUGUGAUUGAGUGAAGUAGUCACAAUUGAUCGGCGGCACAGCUGCCGCGUACACACUGACAACCAGCUGCGGAUGAAAAAUGAUGGAUGUCAAUAGCAGUUCGUUGUCAAAGCUUCAUCUCUUGAAUUCGAUCGUUGUUGACAGAAAUGAAGUGAUCUGCUGUGCGAACGAAAUGAUCUAUAGAUGUGGCAAUUCAUUCAGUCAGACGAUGGGAGAAAGGGUCUGAUGGUUCAGGGUGGUGCCCAGCUGUGUGUUUACAGUAGAAAUUUGGUCGUCCAGAGAUAUGCUAAGAAAGAAGCGAAUAGAAGAUUAAAAAUUCAAAAUAAAAAUUGUGUGACCCAUAGGAUUUUUUGUGUAUGAAGCAAAAAAAAACAAGUAAUAGGUAAUUUUAUAUAGUGG